RNAcentral lists this long non-coding RNA (9666 nucleotides) under Nicotiana tabacum (common tobacco). Its description in RNAcentral is "long non-coding RNA (NTAB_LNC011266)". The record is from RNAcentral. Lineage: Eukaryota; Viridiplantae; Streptophyta; Magnoliopsida; Solanales; Solanaceae.
CCCAACAUCGGGGUAUCACAAGUCAUGAGCAUCUACUAAGGUCUGAAUACAAUGAAGAGUCUGAAAAUAUACUAAAAACAAUCUAAGAAAGAUAAGAGGGAGAAGAGCAGAGGUGCGAACGUCGGGCAGCUACCUUGCUAACUCCGAUGACGCUGCCACUAAGCAACCAACACCCGCUACCGGGUUCAGAAUUACCUGAAUCUGCACACACAGUACAGGAAGUAAUGUGAGUAUGCUAACUCAGUAAGUAAUAAAAGUAAAUGAAAGCUGAGCAGUAAGAAAACACAUAAACCACGUCAAAAUGCUACAACAAAUGCAGGACAUUUCCAGCACAGUACAGAAAUCAUUUACUUUGUAAAAUCAUGCUCAGUUUCGGUAAAAACCUUUUAAAAUAAUUUUUCAAUAGUUUCGAACGAGUGAUAAAAUAGUGAGUAAACAUGAUAGAAAUGUAAACAGCCCCUCGGGCGAAAACAUGUACCAUAAAUCGUCCCUCGGGCAUAAUAUCAACAGAACCAGCCCCUCGGGCUACCUCACAAUCACUCGUAAUCAGCCCCCCGGGCAUAACAUGAAUCAAGAACUGCCCCCCUGGCAACAAUAUGAAACAACAACAGCCCCUCGGGCUACAUCAUAUCACUCACACUAGGUACCUGCACUCACUAGGGGUGUACAGACUCCGGGAGGGGCCCUUUACAGCCCAAGCGCAAGAACAAGCCAUCUCGUGGCAUAAUCAAAUAGGCUCUCGACCACAUAUCAAGCCACCUUGUGGCAUAACAAAUCAAGCCAUCGGCCUCACAAUCAUGAAUCAGUACAACACUGCUACGGCGCGUAGCCCGAUCCCAUAAUAUCCUCACAAAAUAGGCCCUUGGCCUCACUCAGUCAGAAUUCUCUCAAAGCCACUCGGGCAUAAUAAAACAUGAUGCUCAGCCCAAAAUAUUAUUUAAAAUGUCAAAACGGAGUAAAUAUGGCUGAGUUAUGAAAACAGUAGAGUACAGCAUGACUGAGUACAAAUAUGAAGUCAAAAUAGUAAGGAAUAGUAGUAAAAAUCUCCUAAGGGUCCAAAACAGUUGGUACGAAGCCCAAACAUGGCAUUCAGCCCAAAACAUGGUAAUAAUUUCCAAAAUACAAUGAUAUCAAACAGUUUGCAAUCAAAUACGCGACUUAACAGUCCUACGGAACGGACUAAGUCACAACCCCCAACNNNNNNNNNNNNNNNNNNNNNNNNNNNNNNNNNNNNNNNNNNNNNNNNNNNNNNNNNNNNNNNNNNNNNNNNNNNNNNNNNNNNNNNNNNNNNNNNNNNNNNNNNNNNNNNNNNNNNNNNNNNNNNNNNNNNNNNNNNNNNNNNNNNNNNNNNNNNNNNNNNNNNNNNNNNNNNNNNNNNNNNNNNNNNNNNNNNNNNNNNNNNNNNNNNNNNNNNNNNNNNNNNNNNNNNNNNNNNNNNNNNNNNNNNNNNNNNNNNNNNNNNNNNNNNNNNNNNNNNNNNNNNNNNNNNNNNNNNNNNNNNNNNNNNNNNNNNNNNNNNNNNNNNNNNNNNNNNNNNNNNNNNNNNNNNNNNNNNNNNNNUUUCAAUACCCUCAUGACAAAUAUUUACAAGCAUUACUUACCUCUAUCCGGUCCAAACUCUAGCCCGCGAUGCCUUGCCUCUCGAAUCGGCCUCCAAAUGCUCCAAAUCUAACCAAAAUCAGUAUAUUAUCAUCAGUAUAAGCUAAAGGAACAAAGCCCAAGUGAAAAUAAUCAAAUUAACUCAAAAAUCCCGAAAUUGGUUCAAACCCGGCCCCCGGGCCCACGUCUCAAAAUCCGAUAUAAAUCACAAAACUAGAAAACCCAUAUCAAAUUCACCAAAAUCUGACAUCAAAUGGUGAUUCAAAUCCCUAAAAUCAACUCUCCAAACCUUUUUUGAUUUUUUCCAAUUUUCACCCUAAAUUCCCAAAUUAAAUGAUAAGAAUCAAGACAUAAUCAUGAGAUUUAACCAAAUUUUAGUGAAGAACAGUUAUCCCAAUCAAUCCUCUGAAAAUCCUUUCAAAAAUCGCCUCAAUCCGAGCUCUAUAGCUCCAAAAAUGCAAAAAUGGCCGAAAUCCUCGAAAUAAAGUACUUUAUAAUCUGCCCAGGCAUUUAUCCUAUGCUAUCGCGAACAAACUAAUGUGAUAGCAAAGCACAAAUUUUCCAACCCUUCUUUUACCUUAUGCGAUCGCGGCCAUUCCCCCGCGAUCUCUUAGAACAAAUUUUUCCAACAGCCUUCUCCAACUCUUCCAGAUAUCCUCUAGUAUAAUGGUCAUAACUUUUUGUUCAAAUCUCUAAAUUAUAAUUGGUUUAACUUUCUGAAAACUAUACAUCAAGGACUACAACUUUUAUUUUUAGAUCUUCAAAUCCCUUAUAGAUUGUGAGAUAUAAGCUUCCAAAGUCAGCUGAGUGCAGUAGAGAUUUUACUCUAUGCGAUCGAGGGAAGACUUACGCGAUUGCAUAGCACAACUCCAUUUUUCCAAAUUUUCUCGAUGCUAACGCGGUCAGAUAUAUGCUAACGCUCUGUACACCCCUAAAGCCAAACACCAGCAACUAGAAAUGGCCUAGAAAUGGUCCGAAACCACCCCAAAACUCACCCGAGAUCCUUGGGAGCUCAACCAAACAUGCCAACACAUCCCAUAACAUCAUUAAAACUUGUUCCAACCUUCGGAAUCAAAACAACAUCAAAACAUCGAAUCACCCUCGGAUUCAAGCAUAAGAAUUCCAAAACUUCCGAAUUCCUAAUUCGAUCAAAAAGUUUAUCAAACCUCGUUCGAGUGACCUAAAAUUUUUCACACACAUCACAAAUGACACAACGGACCUACUCCAAUUUCCGAAAUUUCAUUCCGACCCCGAUAUCAAAAUUUCCACUGCUGAUCGAAAAAUGCCAAAUUUUCAAUUUCGCCAAUUGAAGCCUAAAUCUACCACGGACCUCCAAAUACAUUCUGGAUGUGCUCCCAAAUCCAAAAUCACCUAACGGAGCUAACCAAAUCAUAAAACUCCAAAUCCAAGAUCGAAUACUAAAAAUUCAAAACUUGGUCAAACCUUUCAAAUUUAAAGCUUCAGACUGAGAAUUGUUCUUCCAAAUCUAUUCUGAUUAUCCUGAAAACCAAAACCGACGAUUUACAUAAGUCAUAAAACAGCACACGGGGCUAGUCAUGCCCGAGAAUUGGCGAGCAAAAUGCAAAAGCUCAAAACGAACGGUCAGGUCAUUACAACUGGGCUCCAAAUAUAGAGCCUGGAACCCAUAUGUGAAUAUUUAUUUAUAAAAAAUAAUUAUUUAAUUUACAAACUAACAUGGAGACGGGUUUCUACAGGAUUUAGGAGAUUGGGCGGCUGCAGCUCGAUUGGUGUUUGGUCACGGCCCUGAUAGAGCGGUGGAGGCCGGAGACGCACACAUUCCACCUGCCCAUUGGCGAGGCCACCAUUACACUACAGGACGUGGAGGUUUUAUAUGGGUUGCAUGUUGAUGGACUGUCCGUUGCUCUACCGCCUGGCAUGAGAAAGAUGACACGUGUGCAGUACCUGGACAUGCUGCAAUGGCUCACUGCUUUCUGGCCAGAGGAUGAGAAUGUACUGCAUAGGACCAGUCAUUUUUUGUUGACGACUAUUCGACUGUGGUUGGAGGUAUUGCAUCCUCAGAUCGAUGGCGAUACACCGGAUUAUCAUGUUGACCGGUAUACGAGGUUGCUGCUACUCCUGUUGUUUGGAGGGGUCUUGUUCCCGAACACUUCAGGGAACCUAGUCAGCUUGAGAUUUCUUCAUCAUCUUGAGUGGCUAGAUGAUUUACCCCAAUACAGUUGGGGCUCUGUUGUUCUCGCCUACUUGUACAGGCAUAUGUGCAGGGCGAGCAUGGGCACCCAGCGUGAGGUUGCUGGAUUUUUGCUGCUACUAUAGGUGACAAUAUAUUCGAAUACUCUAUUCAUUUUAGCAUACCUAGUAAAUAUAUAUCUUAAAUUUUACGUCAACUUUGUAUGUUAGGUUUGGGCCUAAGAGCGGUUCCUGCAGUUGCAGCCACCUCUACCACCAUUAGAUCCGAAUGUACCACUGGAGUUCUUCCCUCUAGCUAGAAGGUGGGUUCUAUGGCGAGGACAUAUGUGCAAGGACGAGGCUCGACAUAAUCUCUCCUUGUGAAUGGAUAUAUUGGAUUUGUUGGAUGGCGCACAGGUAAAUGUAUGUCUAAGUUUACUUGUCAUUGCUUCAAACACAAGUUGUGUAUACUAACGUUUUCUGUUCUUCCUUAAUAGUUCAUAUGGACUCCAUAUAGCGACGCGGUGUUAACUGGCUUGCCCUGUUAUUGCUCGGCCGGCCAUGAGAUAUGGGGCUUUUCCAUCCCGUUGUUCUGCCUUGAUAUUGUGGAGCAUCAUGCCACCGAGCGGGUACUUCGCCACUUUGGUAGGCUGCAGAUCGUACCGACACCGCCCACCUGGGAGACCACACAUUACUAGAGGGAUGAUCGUACCAGGGUGGACGAUGCAUAUUUGGCAUGGCUACAAGAUCAGAUAUUUAAUUGGGACCAGCGAUUUCAAUGGAUUUGCCCCUUCCCCCCCUCCCCCUCACAGAGUCGACAGAAUACUGAGCAUGAUUAUAUGCCCUGGUACCAUGGUGUUACCCGACUUUUCAUCGGGAACCCCAUUCAUUGAGCUGGCGAUCGGUAUGUUCCAUACGUCGGGAGGCACGAGGCACUGGUAUGUUUUUUGGUAUUCUUACUUAUAACUGUGAUAUAGCAUUCUAUAAUUUAUAUUUUACAUAUUGUGCAUGCAAUUGAUAUACAUUUAGUCCACUAGUUGGGACUAUAGAUGCAGCAGUAUGCCGGCGAUCCUACGAUCGCUUUGUAGGAGUAUGGCCGGCAGGUUAUAGAAUUGGCUGCCUGGACACUGCAUCGAGCCAGAGAGGACGAGCGCUUAGAGCGCAUCCCUACUUAUGUGGCAUUAGAACACUACCAUCGAGGUAUGCAUGUCCCACGUAUGAGGGGACGAUGAGGCAGGGCUGUCCCACGAGGCAGGGAUGCCCCCACAAGGUAGGGUUGUCCCACGGGGUCGUGGGGGCCGGCAAUGAGGUGGUCCCCAGCAAGGGGGUGUUGAGGCAUAUGUUCCGGCACCUGUUGAGGAUGCUAGAGAUGAUAUGUCGGGUGACCUCCAUUAGCCAAACGAGCAUCACAGUAGCAUAUCGUCAUACAGCCUUCAGCUGGCACCGACUCCAGCAGCAUCGCAGGUGACCCUGUUAGAUCUAUUAUAUCUCGCAUUUUCGUACUUUAAAAGUUUCGUUUUCGGUUAAUUGACGUAGACUCGUGGAUGAGAUCAUCUUGACGUUAACGUACUUGCACUAUUUAUAACAAGCGAUAAAUAAGUGUUAUAAAGGGGUACACGGAUUAAAGAAAAUGAGUUUCGUUGAAAGUGGCCAAUUUGGAGUAAAAUAUGGGUCGCGCGAUAAUACCCGAUAAUUAUAAACUAGUACCAUGCAAGGUACCAUAUGACAACGGUAGUAUAAUAUAUAAAAUAUAUAUGAAGUAUUUUAAAAAUAAAUAAAAUUUUAAGUAAUUUGUGAUAAUUUUUAAAUUAUGCGGAUAAUUGAUUAAAUACCGGGUAAUAGAACAUUACCUAGUUAACUAAUAAGCAGACAAAAUUUAAUCAAUUAUACCCAAAGGAACGUGGCACAAGGUCACUAUUCAAGAAAGGUGAGUCAUAUUGACAUGGGUAUAGGUGUCUACCUAAUAUGACCAAGUCAUGACUUAACAUUAAAGUCUGGGUGAGACUUGAAUAAUCUGAUCCAAUUUUAAGCUUCAAUUCAUUUCAUUGCUUGAAAUCAAAAACUUGGAAAGACUUGGCAUUUUAAAGACUUAGCAAAAUGUUGCUUUCUGCCAAAACAACAAAAUCCCAUUCUCCCUUCCAUUACAAGUACAAACAGUAGAUGGGUUAGUAGGAGAUUUUGUUCAAUCCAUUCCAAGACAACAUGAAAGGUUAGAAGAUUGAUUUUCUUGAUUUGGACAAAAGGGACUAACGUCCCAAAAAUUUAGCCAAGCAGAAACAAUUUUGUUUCAGUUUUAUAGAUUCCAAGCAACAAUUUCGUUCAAAUUCAAAGAAGCAGAAGCUUCGUUUCGUGCAAAUAAUUCAAGGAAUAGGUAUGUUAAGGUCUCCCUUCUUUCUUUUGGCAUGGUCCAAGCUAUACUGAAGAAACGAGCAAAUACGCAGUUUCUAUAAAUUACUCUAUUUAUAGAAAUAGUAGGGGUGUCUAUAUUCUUGAUUCCCCACGUAUUAUUAUCUUUUGUUUAUGGGUCUCAGAAUAAUACACAGUUGGAAAAGUUUAUCCAGAAGGAAUAUUGAGAUUGUUUUACGUAUUUUUCAUGCAUUUCACUCAUUUAUACAUGUGCAUUGACCCAUGACCAGAUGGUGCUAUAUACGUGUAUAUAUGUAAAUAUAUGUAUAUGGGAUAUGGGAAAAGGUUACGUCGUUAUAUACGCAUCACCACCUAAUCAGCUGGUAUAUGUUGAUGAUGUUGCCCACAGUGGCCGAGAUGAUAUGAUGGGAUGCCCUCAGUGGCUUGAUGAUAUUAUGUACACCCAUACUUAUGCAUGGAACGACAUUUAUACGCACGUGCAUGACAUUAUAAACGUUUUAGAAUUUAUAAAGUUAUUUAGAUUUAAAGAUGUGUUUCCUUAUUCCAUGUUUCAUCUAUGUCUUUUACGUACUAAUUUUUAUGACUUACAUACUCAGUACAUUUUUCGUACUGAUACUCUAUUUCACGGGGCCUGCAUUUCAUGCCCGCAAGUGCAGGUUGGCAAGCUGGCGAUCCCCCUUCUUAGGAUUCUUGAUCAGCGAGAGUUGGCGUGCUCCACUUGAUCCGGAGCUAUUUUUGUUUUGGUACGAUAUGUUUGUAUAUAUGUAUGUAUAUGGGUAUGACGUGGCUCAAUCCUGUCUUUGUACAGUUAUGUUUCUGUUAGAGGUCUAUGUACAGUAUAUCUAGUUAGGUUGUAUGUGGCUUUGUCGGCUUUCAGGUUUGGAUGUAUAGUUGUCUAUAGCAGCCUUGCCGGCUCGCCCACUAUAUUCUGCAUGUAUACGUACAUAUGUCUUGAUGUCAGGUUUCCUUUACGUAUGUUAUUUUCAUAAUGUAACAGAUGUUAUUCAGGUUCAUAUCUUAGACGCAUGCUUAGGGGUGUUUGACAGGUAGGACUCAGGCACCCGUCGUGGCUCAUCGGUUUGGGUCGUAACAAAAGUGUUAUCAGAGCAUUUCUAUCUUAGGGUUGUCCACAGACCGUGUCUAGUAGAGUCUUGUUUAUGGGUGUCGUGCACUACACUUAUAAACAGAAGGCUACAAGACAUAUAGGAUGUUAUCCUCUCUUUUUAUCUCAGAUCGUGUGAUACAAGAAUUCAUGUUCCUAACGAUACGUUUGUUACACCUUCUUUUUUACCUACACCCCCGUAAGGGAGUAUAUAAGGGAGUUUUUCCAAAUUAACUGACAAUCAAAACGGGACUAUUUUAUUUAAAAUUCAGAGUCGCCACUUAGGAUAAUUUAUGGUGUCUCAGGUCACCGGUUCAAAUCCUGAAUCGAGGAAAGAUUGACUCUGUUUUACAAUCCGCGAACACAGAAAUUCGGGUAAGGAAUUAUGUUAACCCGGGAGAAGGUGUUAGACAUUUCUGUGUUCUAGCACGGUCGCUCAACUGUUACAAUUGGCCUAUUAUCUGAUUUUAAUACAUGUUUUAGCCUAUGGUUCAAUUUUAACUUUAUAACCGCUUUUAUUCAUUUUUAAGGAAGAUUGCAACGUCAUUUAAAAUACGACUUGCACCACGUCACAUAAAUGCACCCGCAGUCCGCAACACAUUUUGUCUGAAGUUAUUGAAAUUUUGAUUUGGGUCACAUAAAUGCGCACCCGAGUUUAAGAAGGUAAACUAUUAAAUAGCACGCCUAAAGCAGCUAUGCAUUUUAAAUCUGCGAGGGACAUGGAGAUUCAAUUAAAUGGCACGCCUCGAAUUCUAAGGAUANNNNNNNNNNNNNNNNNNNNNNNNNNNNNNNNNNNNNNNNNNNNNNNNNNNNNNNGUGUGGCCCCAUGGAGGACAAUAUGCGGGAAGUAAGACUCAUAUGGUUCGGGCACAUUCAGAGGAGGAGCACUGAUGCACCGGUGAGGAGGUGUGAGCGACUAGCUGUAGUGGGCACGCGGAGAGGUAGAGGAAGACCUAAGAAGUAUUGGGGAGAGGUGAUCAGACAGGACAUGGCGCGACUUGGGAUUACUGAGGACAUGGCCCUUGAUAGGGAAUUAUGGAGGUCAAGCAUUAAGGUUGUAGGUUAGGGGAGAGUGUGAAUAUUUCUACAGCACAAUAGAGGGAGACUAUCCAGUUAGGAGUUAGACUAGGAAUGUCAUUGGUCGUUUAUUGAUGCAGGGCUUUCCCUUCUAGUUGUACUAUACCAGCCAUCUUUUUCGUAUUUCGUAUUUUGUAUCAUGUAUUUCAUAUUUCAUAUCUCUUAUAUAUUGUUGUUGUUAUUGUUGUUAUUUUUAUUACGCAUUUUUAUGGUACUAAUAUAUCAUCUCCUAUUGCUUUUUUGAGCCGAGGGUCUCCUGGAAACAGUCUCUCUACCCUUCGGGGUAGGGGUAAGGUCUGCGUACAUAUUACCCUCCCCAGACCCCACUUGUGGGAUUAUACUGGGUCGUUGUUGUUGUUGUUGUUGUUUAAGUAUCACAACUAUGCCACGGGAACCGUACUCAUAAUUGUGAUGUUUUAAUUACGUGUCUAAAACAAAUUACAAGGUUCAUUGUUCAUCCCAAACUUUGAGAUUAUUGAUUACAAAAUGAAAGAAAACGUACUAAAUUUUCAUGACGUCAAUAACAGUAAAACGAACCAAAUCAAUUAAAGAACAAAGCAAUUAAUAUCACAUCACAUGGCCCCAUGGCUUAAACGCUUAUCAAACGGCCCAUUAGAACAACUCAGAACCAAAAAACAAGACAACCAAACUUGAUCAAAUUCGCGUCACAUUUCAAAUUAAUCACGAAACUAACAAAACCUUAUAACAAAUGAAUUUCACCUUAAGAACAUCAACAAACAUACACGCUAAGAAAUGGCUAAAUGUAUUUUAAUACCAGCAAGCUCAAAAUCACCUUCUUAAGUAAACCCACAUUUGAGACAUGAAAUGAACAUUCACAUAAAUAUAAAAACUCAAUGGAAUACUCGUUUAACCAAAAUUCUGGAAUCAAAUUAGAAAGACAUAGUAUAUAUGUAAAAGAAACAGACCUUUAUUGUCGAAAUCUGAAUUUUAAAGGUUUACAAUUCAACAACUGGACCAAACACCAGCGAGUCGGCAAACUCGACCUCGACGGAAGCCCAAAAAAUCAAACACCCAUCUCGACUCUUACUGAUUAAGAUCAAUUGUUUUCCGGAAAAGAAUUCGGUAUGCUCAAAAUUUGUCUAGAUUCAUCUAGUCGAUGCCGAAAUGGAAAGGAGAAUAUAUGAAAUUUCAUGACAUCGAUUUGAGCUAAAAUGGAGCAAACAUUUCGGCUCCAAAUAAGGAUAAAUCAGAAUCCCUUUCAGAACUUGGAAUGGGAGAUGAAUUAAGUAAAGGAAAUCGAAAUGGAAGCAAUAAAAAUGAAUAAAUAAAGGAAGUAUCUAAAGAGUUGAAACCAAGGAAAUGAUAGAGCGAAUUCGAGGGAUGAAGCCAAAACGGCGGAUCUUUCUUUUUGU